AAAGCACGCCCCUAGCACCAACAGGAGGCGGCGCGACGGCCGCGCUGCAGUAUAAAAUCAGGAAUUCACCUGUCAAUCAACCGCAGCAAAGAGACGAAACGCAAUGGAAUAAAUAACUGUUGCCAGACAGAGGGGGGCUGCCCUUCUUCUCCUGCGCUGUAGGCGGCCAGGAGAAGACGAAGGGUUUGGGUGCACCCCAUCAAUGAACAGAGACAAGAACAGGGGGUAUGCCACAAUCUGGUCCAGGAGCUCCGUGCAGAUCCUGAGAGGCACGCCAAUAUUUCAAUUCGCCACUAAGUGUGCAAUGGCAGAACCAUAUGGUGCAGCCUAUAUGAUGACCUAUAAUCUAGUUAUUAUCCCUCUCUGGUAUACUCUUUUGCAUAUAUAUAUAUAUACUUUUUUUUUAUCCCUCGGGAUAAAUACAGUGAUGUUAUUGCUGUGCUGGAUUCAGUAGCCAGUGUAUUUUAUUUGAGUGCUCGAGACACUUAGGGCCCUAUCUUGCAUCCGGCGCAAGUGACUUAGUCACUGGCGCAUGUGUCGUUGCUAGUUUACAACUGGCGCAGAGCGCUCUUUUGCCACCUGCGCCACUCGCCGGUAAAUUAGGGAAUGAUCUUGCGCCCCAAGGGGCGGUUCGGCGGAAGGAGGAGGCGUGU
Long non-coding RNA from Gadus macrocephalus (Pacific cod), 653 nucleotides. RefSeq lists it as uncharacterized. The record is from RefSeq and is a predicted model, not a curated record. The transcript has 2 exons. Lineage: Eukaryota; Metazoa; Chordata; Actinopteri; Gadiformes; Gadidae.